AUUGAACGCUGGCGGCAUGCUUUACACAUGCAAGUCGAACGGCAGCGCGGGCUUCGGCCUGGCGGCGAGUGGCGAACGGGUGAGUAAUGCAUCGGAACGUGCCCAGUAGUGGGGGAUAGCCCGGCGAAAGCCGGAUUAAUACCGCAUACGACCUGAGGGUGAAAGCGGGGGACCGAAAGGCCUCGCGCUAUUGGAGCGGCCGAUGUCGGAUUAGCUAGUUGGUGGGGUAAAGGCUUACCAAGGCGACGAUCCGUAGCUGGUCUGAGAGGACGACCAGCCACACUGGGACUGAGACACGGCCCAGACUCCUACGGGAGGCAGCAGUGGGGAAUUUUGGACAAUGGGGGCAACCCUGAUCCAGCCAUGCCGCGUGCGGGAAGAAGGCCUGCGGGUUGUAAACCGCUUUUGUUCGGGAAGAAAUCCUCUGGGCUAAUACCCCGGGGGGAGGACGGUACCGGAAGAAUAAGCACCGGCUAACUACGU
Molecule: ribosomal RNA, 483 nt
Filed under: uncultured bacterium
Lineage: Bacteria
Description: partial 16S ribosomal RNA
Rfam family: Bacterial small subunit ribosomal RNA
Source: RNAcentral